Molecule: unclassified non-coding RNA, 334 nt
Filed under: soil metagenome
Description: partial contains 5.8S ribosomal RNA, internal transcribed spacer 2, and large subunit ribosomal RNA
Rfam family: 5.8S ribosomal RNA (bases 1-120)
Source: RNAcentral
GAUGAAGAACGUAGCGAAAUGCGAUAAGUAAUGUGAAUUGCAGAAUUCAGUGAAUCAUCGAAUCUUUGAACGCACAUUGCGCCCGCCAGUAUUCUGGCGGGCAUGCCUGUUCGAGCGUCAUUUCAACCAUCAAGCCCCGGCUUGUGUUGGGGACCUGCGGCUGCCGCAGGCCCUGAAAACCAGUGGCGGGCUCGCUAGUCACUCCGAGCGUAGUAAUACAUCUCGCUCAGGGCGUGCUGCGGGUUCCGGCCGUUAAAAAGCCUUAUUUACCCAAGGUUGACCUCGGAUCAGGUAGGAAGACCCGCUGAACUUAAGCAUAUCAAUAAGCGGAGGA